AACCGGAUUAGAUACCCGGGUAGUCCACGCUGUAAACGAUGAAUACUGGGUCUUCGGGGAAUCGACCCCUUGUGGACCGAAGCUAACGCGUUAAGUAUUCCGCCUGGGGAGUACGGUCGCAAGACUAAAACUCAAAGGAAUUGACGGGGGCCCGCACAAGCAGCGGAGCGUGUGGUUUAAUUCGAUGGUAAACGAAGAACCUUACCUAGGUUUGACAUAUAAGUGGUAGCGAUCCGAAAGGUGAACCACCCGCAAGGGAGCUUAUACAGGUGCUGCAUGGUUGUCGUCAGCUCGUGCCGUGAGGUGUUGGGUUAAGUCCCGCAACGAGCGCAACCCUCGUGGAUAGUUGUUUUCUUUAUCCAGACUGCUUUUAAAGAGGAAGGUGGGGACGACGUCAAAUCAUCAUGGCUCUUACACCUAGGGCUACACACACGCUACAAUGGAUAGUACAGACGGUUGCCAAGUCGCGAGAUGGAGCCAAUCCGAAAAAGCUAUCCCCAAUUGGAAUUGUAGGCUGAAACUCGCCUGCAUGAACGUGGAGUUGCUAGUAACCGCAGGUCAGAAUACUGCGGUGAAUACGUUCCCGGGCCUUGUACACACCGCCCGUCACGUCAUGGAAGUUUGAAACACUUGAAGUCGUUGGGCUUACCCUUAUGGGACGCAGACGCCGAGAGUGGGGCAAAUGACUGGGACGAAGUCGUAACAAGGUAGCUGUACCGGAAGGUGCGGCUG
Molecule: ribosomal RNA, 732 nt
Filed under: marine metagenome
Description: bacterial SSU rRNA
Rfam family: Bacterial small subunit ribosomal RNA
Source: RNAcentral